RNAcentral lists this microRNA (21 nucleotides) under Panagrellus redivivus. Its description in RNAcentral is "prd-miR-7881-5p". The record is from miRBase by way of RNAcentral. Lineage: Eukaryota; Metazoa; Nematoda; Chromadorea; Rhabditida; Panagrolaimidae.
UGAUCCCUUUCUUUUUUUGGC